UUCAGCACCAUGACGGUCUGCCUUGAAGCCAGCUCGCUGGUGAGGCAGACCUGAAGAUUUCAGCGUGCA
This is a non-coding RNA of Colinus virginianus (northern bobwhite), 69 nucleotides long. Lineage: Eukaryota; Metazoa; Chordata; Aves; Galliformes; Odontophoridae. The record is from Rfam.